AAGGGCACCACAAGAACGCGUGGAGCAUGUGGCUUAAUUUGACUCAACGCGGGAAAUCUUACCGGGUCCGGACACAUUGAGGAUUGACAGGUGUCAUCAUACGUUUACUUUCACGUGUUCUUACGCGUGGGUAGCGUAUGUGUUCAAUAUGCUAGUCCUUUCAUGAUUAUGUGAUAGGUGGUGCAUGGCCGUUCUUAGUUCGUGGAGUGAUCUGUCUGCUUAAUUGCGUUUCACUACGAAUCUACGUCUCAAAUGUGCGCUUGUGAGACAACUUGACCCCUUUACUGAGGUUCCUACUUUGGUAGAGUCGCGUGUCUCGUUGUCACUAUCACAGCGCGCUAAGUAGAUUCUGAAAGCAACGAACGUGACCGCAACCUCUUGUUGCCUGUACAACUGCAAACAGAGAACAUUCGUGUUUUCUGCAUAACAGGCCACUCUCAAUAAACUAGAGGGACCGCUGCGACUUUCUUAAACCAGAGGAAGGGUGUGGCAAUAACAGGUCUGUGAUGCCCUCAGAUGUUCCGGGCUGCACACGUGCUACAAUGAUUAUUGCAGUGAGCAUCUCAUACUAUACAUCGCAGCGUAAGCGUUUUAGCCUCUUUAACGAACUAUUACGACUUUAUUGCGCGAUGAAGCCUGCUUCGACAGUAAGCGGGUAAUCAAUUAGAAGUAAUGACUUCCUUCUAUUAUGCACAACUAUGUUCGGCACUGCUUCCCAGUCUGACUGUUUGUCAGCUGAGUGUUUAGUGGUGAACUCGCUUAAGAGUUUCUAACCGUUCGUGCAGCUGUCAAUUCAUGGUAGGGACAGACCAUUGUUAAUUGUUGGUCUCGGUCUCAACUAGGAAUGCCUUGUACGGGUCUUUGGUUCAAUAAACCACCCGGAAUACGUCCCUGCCCUUUGUACACACCGCCCGUC
RNAcentral lists this ribosomal RNA (916 nucleotides) under Foraminifera environmental sample. Its description in RNAcentral is "SSU rRNA". It matches the Rfam family "Eukaryotic small subunit ribosomal RNA", at positions 1160 to 1677 of the family's 1831-position model. Lineage: Eukaryota; Foraminifera. The record is from RNAcentral.